AAAAUCAGAACGAUAUAGAGAAGAUUAGCAUGGUCCCUGCAUAAAGAUGACAUGCAAAUUCGUGAAGUGUUCCAUAUUUUA
This 81-nucleotide small nuclear RNA is filed under the name Jaculus jaculus (lesser Egyptian jerboa). Lineage: Eukaryota; Metazoa; Chordata; Mammalia; Rodentia; Dipodidae. The record is from RNAcentral.